CAGUGAUCAUGACGACUUUAAAGUCCGACCUCAGUUUUUGGGGAGGCAGGGAGAGUCUGGGAUACUGAGCGAAACCAUGGAAGCAUGAAAGAAAGGGACUCCAGGAAGCAGCGUUGACAGACUCUCCUUCAUGCAUCCCACCUCCUCCCCAUCUCCAACUCAGCCAGAGCUAUAUUCAAGGUAUAGUCUUCAUCUUCACCACCACCAGCGUCCAGACUUCUUAUGACAAACCACUAUACUAUGAACAGCAAGACAUCUCCAACAGAAAGAAGCUAAAGGAAGGGCAGACAUCUGCCUUGAAUGGAUAAAGGGUGAGGAAAAAAGAAGAGACAAAAGUGGAGAGACCAGGAACGACAACUGGGAGAAAAGUGAGAGGAAUACAGAGAAAGAUGAAUGAA
Oreochromis niloticus (Nile tilapia) is the source of this 398-nucleotide long non-coding RNA. RefSeq lists it as uncharacterized. The record is from RefSeq and is a predicted model, not a curated record. The transcript is spliced from 2 exons. Lineage: Eukaryota; Metazoa; Chordata; Actinopteri; Cichliformes; Cichlidae.